CCUACGGGGCGCUGCAGUGGGGAAUAUUGGACAAUGGGCGAAAGCCUGAUCCAGCCAUGCCGCGUGUGUGAAGAAGGCCUUCGGGUUGUAAAGCACUUUCAGUGGGGAAGAAAGCCUUGGGGCUAAUACCCUCGAGGAAGGACAUCACCCACAGAAGAAGCACCGGCUAACUCCGUGCCAGCAGCCGCGGUAAUACGGAGGGUGCGAGCGUUAAUCGGAAUUACUGGGCGUAAAGCGCGCGUAGGCGGUCUGAUAAGCCGGUUGUGAAAGCCCCGGGCUCAACCUGGGAACGGCAUCCGGAACUGUCAGGCUAGAGUGCAGGAGAGGAAGGUAGAAUUCCCGGUGUAGCGGUGAAAUGCGUAGAGAUCGGGAGGAAUACCAGUGGCGAAGGCGGCCUUCUGGACUGACACUGACGCUGAGGUGCGAAAGCGUGGGUAGCAAACAGGAUUAGAUACACCAGUAGUC
This 465-nucleotide ribosomal RNA is filed under the name Vreelandella stevensii. Its description in RNAcentral is "partial 16S ribosomal RNA". It matches the Rfam family "Bacterial small subunit ribosomal RNA", at positions 338 to 795 of the family's 1533-position model. The record is from RNAcentral. Lineage: Bacteria; Pseudomonadati; Pseudomonadota; Gammaproteobacteria; Oceanospirillales; Halomonadaceae.